AAGUCGUAACAAGGUAACCGUAGGUGAACCUGCGGUUGGAUCAUUAAAAAUCUUAACAGCCUCUCACUGGCUUCGAGCAAGAUCUUGCGGAAAGCCGUGAAUGUUGGCACCACAUUUUGUGCACCGUAACGUCUUUGGUGGUUGGGCGGUCUGUCUUUUUGUGACUUUCUCGUCUGUCAGCUUGGAUUUAUCAUAAUCUUUGCCGUGGACACGCCACCGUUUGUCUUCAACUUAUGUUUUCAUGGAUUGUCUGACAAAUUCUUGUAUCAAAAAUAUACAAACAACUUUUGGCAACGGAUCUCUUGGUUCUC
This 311-nucleotide unclassified non-coding RNA is filed under the name Spizellomyces dolichospermus. RNAcentral's name for it is "partial internal transcribed spacer region". The stretch from base 1 to 46 matches the Rfam family "Eukaryotic small subunit ribosomal RNA", at positions 1786 to 1831 of the family's 1831-position model. The record is from RNAcentral. Lineage: Eukaryota; Fungi; Chytridiomycota; Chytridiomycetes; Spizellomycetales; Spizellomycetaceae.